Molecule: long non-coding RNA, 542 nt
Organism: Anolis carolinensis (green anole)
Lineage: Eukaryota; Metazoa; Chordata; Lepidosauria; Squamata; Anolidae
Exons: 2
Source: RefSeq, a predicted model, not a curated record
UUAAUUAAUUGCAGACAGGGGUUACGCUGACAUUUGUAGUAAACAAUGUCUUUGUCAUAAAAUGUUGCUCUCAGUUGCUUAUCACUUGGAAUCUUUUUAUCUUAUUUACAGUGAAACCUUAUACAUAUUUGCUGAGAUGAAAGUUCAGCUUUCAUUCUGCUAAAACUGAUGAGCUAUUAAAGGCAACUAGGACAGUAAUUAUUUUAAAAAAAAAUCCUGUUAGACAAGUUAGAAGACUGCCUGAAGAAAAAUGCAACCAAUAUUGUUUUGGAUGUUGAAUCAACAAAGGCACUUAAAAGGAAAACACUUCAGGCAUGAAUCACAUACAAAGUACCUGUAGAGCAUUCCAGGAAGAAGACUGACACAAAAGAAUACCUUGCUGUUGUUGCUGUUCCUCUCUGAAAUGAACUGGAUGGUGCAAACACACCUUAAGAUAAAUAUCUAGUUUCUCAUAUCCAGGUGUUUUGGAAAGAAUGCAAUAAAGACUGCCAGUCCUAUUUAGUAAACUAGGAAGGCUGCUAAUAAAAAUUUUGACAUGUUGA